Molecule: ribosomal RNA, 253 nt
Filed under: uncultured bacterium
Lineage: Bacteria
Description: partial 16S ribosomal RNA
Rfam family: Bacterial small subunit ribosomal RNA
Source: RNAcentral
UACGUAGGGUGCGAGCGUUGUCCGGAUUCAUUGGGCGUAAAGGGUGCGUAGGCGGCGCGGUAAGUCGGGUGUGAAAUCUCGGGGCUUAACUCCGAAACUGCAUUCGAUACUGCCGUGCUUGAGGACUGGAGAGGAGACUGGAAUUUACGGUGUAGCGGUGAAAUGCGUAGAUAUCGUAAGGAAGACCAGUGGCGAAGGCGGGUCUCUGGACAGUCCCUGACGCUGAGACACGAAGGCCAGGGGAGCAAACGGG